UGAGUGGCGGACGGGUGAGUAACGCGUGGGCAACCUGCCCUGUACAGGGGGACAACACUUAGAAAUAGGUGCUAAUACCGCAUAACGGGGGAGCCGCAUGGCACCCCCUGAAAACUCCGGUGGUACAGGAUGGGCCCGCGUCUGAUUAGCUGGUUGGCAGGGUAACGGCCUACCAAGGCGACGAUCAGUAGCCGGCCUGAGAGGGCGGACGGCCACACUGGGACUGAGACACGGCCCAGACUCCUACGGAAGGCAGCAG
Molecule: ribosomal RNA, 259 nt
Filed under: uncultured bacterium
Lineage: Bacteria
Description: partial 16S ribosomal RNA
Rfam family: Bacterial small subunit ribosomal RNA
Source: RNAcentral